RNAcentral lists this small RNA (79 nucleotides) under unclassified sequences. Its description in RNAcentral is "NAD+-I sequence". It matches the Rfam family "nadA riboswitch". The record is from Rfam by way of RNAcentral.
GCCUGCAACAUCCCCGCGGAUCGGGAUUCUAUGAGAAUAUUUCUGAAAACUCAAUAGAAUCAGUGGAUUCGCUGCUGGC